Astatotilapia calliptera (eastern happy) is the source of this 1086-nucleotide long non-coding RNA. The record is from Ensembl. Lineage: Eukaryota; Metazoa; Chordata; Actinopteri; Cichliformes; Cichlidae.
CGUCUAGAGGAAGUAUAUAUGUACAUCAGGCAGGCUGCUGCUGCUUCAGAGCUGUGUGUGCUCAGUCUCCUUUUUUGGAAAUGUAAAAUUAAAGAUCAUUUUUUGAGUUAGACCACUUUGAGCCAUGUUUUUCUUUGCCACCAAAAGAAUGCAAAGAACUGAAUUUAAUAAUUGGUGCAGUGACCCGGAUUCUUUUGCGGCUGAGAGGACUAAUUCGGAGCUUAAGGUGACCCAGGUGAUUGAUAUAUGCAUUUUUUUUCUGUUUUUCUUCUUUUUUUUCUUUUUCUGCUCAUUCUGUUGGUUUUUGGUUUUUGCCCUUCUCCCCCGUCCCUCUUCUCAGCUGUUUCUCUUUCCCUCUUUCUUUCUCCCCUUCUUUCCCCCAGUCAAGUCUGUCCCAUGUUCAGUAAGUGAAAAUAAAAUAAACAAUAAAAGGUGAAUCAAAUGGACCAUUAUGGCAAGGCUGGGAUGGUCAAUUUGGUAAAGUAAAUCCGUUGGGCAUCUUUCUUUGCCUUUAGACAACAAUUCUGAUGGCAAAAGAGCCAAACGGGACAGGCCAAAAAAAAAAAGAAAAAAAAAGUGUGUGCAUGUGUGUGUGUACUGAGGGUCCAUUCUUUUUAUAUUAACACGUAGCAGAGUUACAUAGGGUCUAUAGACUGUAAAUAUAAAAUAAGAGUUCGGUUAGGUUGUAGAUGAAAAUUUACUGAAGAGAAGAGUGUGUGUGUGUGUGUGUGUGUGUGUGUGUGUGUGUGUGUGUGUGUGUGUGUGUGUGUGUGUGUGUGUGUGUCUGGCAGGAAGUGAACAAGCUUGCAUGCCCAUAAAAGGAAACUGGCUGAUAUGUGGAGUGUGCAAUCAGAGAGAGAGAGACGUGUUAAAAAUCUAGGUAGUGUUAAGAAAUGGUAAUGAAAAUGAUAUUAAAUAAAUGUUUUAGUGUGUCAAUACAGGUGGACUCUUCUCAACUUGAAAACAAGCUUAAAGGACAGUCAGUCUCCUGAUGAAGACAGAAGACAGACAGAACACCGUGUACUCGAAGAAUUAACAGCAGGCAAAAAGACAGUGCAACUGACCUAUAACACUGAAGACUCCAGC